GAUGAACGCUGGCGGCGUGCUUAACACAUGCAAGUCGAACGGGAAUUACUUUAUUGAAACUUCGGUCGAUUUAAUUUAAUUCUAGUGGCGGACGGGUGAGUAACGCGUGGGUAACCUGCCUUAUACAGGGGGAUAACAGUCAGAAAUGGCUGCUAAUACCGCAUAAGCGCACAGAGCUGCAUGGCUCAGUGUGAAAAACUCCGGUGGUAUAAGAUGGACCCGCGUUGGAUUAGCUGGUUGGUGGGGUAACGGCCCACCAAGGCGACGAUCCAUAGCCGGCCUGAGAGGGUGAACGGCCACAUUGGGACUGAGACACGGCCCAGACUCCUACGGGAGGCAGCAGUGGGGAAUAUUGCACAAUGGGGGAAACCCUGAUGCAGCGACGCCGCGUGAAGGAAGAAGUAUCUCGGUAUGUAAACUUCUAUCAGCAGGGAAGAUAGUGACGG
This 446-nucleotide ribosomal RNA is filed under the name uncultured bacterium. Its description in RNAcentral is "bacterial SSU rRNA". It matches the Rfam family "Bacterial small subunit ribosomal RNA", at positions 28 to 457 of the family's 1533-position model. The record is from RNAcentral.